CGGGGUGUGGCUCAGCCCGGUGUAGAGCGCACGGUUCGGGUCCGUGAGGUCGGCGGUUCAAAUCCGCCCACCCCGACAA
Molecule: transfer RNA, 79 nt
Filed under: Anaerolineaceae bacterium
Lineage: Bacteria; Bacillati; Chloroflexota; Anaerolineae; Anaerolineales; Anaerolineaceae
Description: tRNA-Pro
Rfam family: tRNA
About the family: Transfer RNA (tRNA) molecules are approximately 80 nucleotides in length. Their secondary structure includes four short double-helical elements and three loops (D, anti-codon, and T loops).
Source: RNAcentral